GUCCUGUUCCUGCGCUUCCCAAGCUGGGUAGAAACGGCGAGAGGCUGGGGGUUAGAAACGACAGGUUCCCGGCGGGCUGUGCCGGGGCUUCGCUGUGUGACCUUGGGCUGGCGUCUGGGCUCUCUGGGCCCUUGUUUCCGCGAGUUAAACGUAGGGGCGGGGGAGUUUCUCUGGCCCUGCCGCCUGUGACCUAAGGAGCCCCGUGACCUCUCCGACCCGAGCCCACCCCCGGCCCAGUCUGCGAGCAGCUCCGGGACAAGCACUCCCGGCGAAGACAUGUAGGCUCUCAGAGCCUGCGUUUCCCUCUGUAGAGCAGGCCUAGUUACUGUCUUCAGGGUGCACGCGUCUCCGUCCCCGACCCGCACCCUCACCGCCGGGGUUGCAAGCUCGAAGAGGGCAGAGGUGACAUCUCUGUUUACUGCAUGUACCCAGCACAGUGCCUGGCACCAAUCUGCA
Molecule: long non-coding RNA, 456 nt
Filed under: Homo sapiens (human)
Lineage: Eukaryota; Metazoa; Chordata; Mammalia; Primates; Hominidae
Description: non-protein coding HDAC11-AS1:4
Source: RNAcentral